GCAAACUUGGUCAUUUAGAGGAAGUAAAAGUCGUAACAAGGUUUCCGUAGGUGAACCUGCGGAAGGAUCAUUACUGUGUUUUGACCUUCGGGUCAUUUUCACACCCCUUGUGUUAACCUCUGGUUUCUUCGGCAAAUUAUUUUUCAUGAAAUAUUUGUCGGAAGAUAUUUAAACUCCACUUUUUUGUUUUACUUGUCUGAGUAACUAUUUUAAUCAUAAAAAAAACUUUUAACGAUGGAUCUCUUGGUUCCGGCAUCGAUGAAGAACGCAGC
Molecule: unclassified non-coding RNA, 272 nt
Filed under: uncultured fungus
Lineage: Eukaryota; Fungi
Description: partial contains small subunit ribosomal RNA, internal transcribed spacer 1, and 5.8S ribosomal RNA
Rfam family: Eukaryotic small subunit ribosomal RNA (bases 1-73)
Source: RNAcentral